GUGGGGAAUAUUGGGCAAUGGGCGAAAGCCUGACCCAGCAACGCCGCGUGAAGGAAGAAGGUCUUCGGAUCGUAAACUUCUAUCCUUGGUGAAGAUAAUGACGGUAGCCGAGAAGGAAGCCCCGGCUAACUACGUGCCAGCAGCCGCGGUAAUACGUAGGGGGCAAGCGUUGUCCGGAAUGAUUGGGCGUAAAGGGCGCGUAGGCGGCCUGGUAAGUCUGGAGUGAAAGUCCUGCUUUUGAGGUGGGAAUUGCUUUGGAUACUGUCGGGCUUGAGUGCAGGAGAGGUAAGCGGAAUUCCCGGUGUAGCGGUGAAAUGCGUAGAGAUCGGGAGGAACACCAGUGGCGAAGGCGGCUUACUGGACUGUAACUGACGCUGAGGCGCGAAAGUGUGGGGAGCAAACAGGAUUAGAUACCCCUGUAGUCC
RNAcentral lists this ribosomal RNA (425 nucleotides) under uncultured bacterium. RNAcentral describes it as "partial 16S ribosomal RNA". It matches the Rfam family "Bacterial small subunit ribosomal RNA", at positions 354 to 796 of the family's 1533-position model. The record is from RNAcentral.